UUGCCCCCAGCCCCGGUAAUACGAAAGGGGCUAGCGUUGCUCGCAAUCACUGGGCGUAAAGGGCGCGUAUGCGGCUUUUUAGUCGGGGGUGAAAGCCUGUGGCUCAACCACAGAAUUGCCUUCGAUACUGGAAAGCUUGAGACCGGAAGAGGACAGCGGAACUGCGAGUGUAGAGGUGAAAUUCGUAGAUAUUCGCAAGAACACCAGUGGCGAAGGCGGCUGUCUGGUCCGGUUCUGACGCUGAGGCGCGAAAGCGUGGGGAGCAAACAGGAUUAGAUACCCUGGUAGUCC
This 291-nucleotide ribosomal RNA is filed under the name uncultured microorganism. Its description in RNAcentral is "partial 16S ribosomal RNA". It matches the Rfam family "Bacterial small subunit ribosomal RNA", at positions 503 to 796 of the family's 1533-position model. The record is from RNAcentral.